GGGAAGUUUUGGACAAUGGGCGCAAGCCUGAUCCAGCCAUGCCGCGUGAGUGAAGAAGGCCUUCGGGUUGUAAAGCUCUUUCGGCCGGAAGAAAUCGUGGUCUCUAACAUAGGCCAUGGAUGACGGUACCGGACUAAGAAGCACCGGCUAACUACGUGCC
This 160-nucleotide ribosomal RNA is filed under the name uncultured bacterium. RNAcentral's name for it is "partial 16S ribosomal RNA". It matches the Rfam family "Bacterial small subunit ribosomal RNA", at positions 356 to 509 of the family's 1533-position model. The record is from RNAcentral.